CUCAGAUUGAACGCUAGCGGGAUGCCUUACACAUGCAAGUCGAACGGCAGCACGGACUUCGGUCUGGUGGCGAGUGGCGAACGGGUGAGUAAUGUAUCGGAACGUGCCUAGUAGCGGGGGAUAACUACGCGAAAGCGUAGCUAAUACCGCAUACGCCCUACGGGGGAAAGCAGGGGAUCGUAAGACCUUGCACUAUUAGAGCGGCCGAUAUCGGAUUAGCUAGUUGGUGGGGUAACGGCUCACCAAGGCGACGAUCCGUAGCUGGUUUGAGAGGACGACCAGCCACACUGGGACUGAGACACGGCCCAGACUCCUACGGGAGGCAGCAGUGGGGAAUUUUGGACAAUGGGGGAAACCCUGAUCCAGCCAUCCCGCGUGUGCGAUGAAGGCCUUCGGGUUGUAAAGCACUUUUGGCAGGAAAGAAACGUCGUGGGUUAAUACCCCGCGAAACUGACGGUACCUGCAGAAUAAGCACCGGCUAACUACGUGCCAGCAGCCGCGGUAAUACGUAGGGUGCAAGCGUUAAUCGGAAUUACUGGGCGUAAAGCGUGCGCAGGCGGUUCGGAAAGAAAGAUGUGAAAUCCCAGAGCUUAACUUUGGAACUGCAUUUUUAACUACCGAGCUAGAGUGUGUCAGAGGGAGGUGGAAUUCCGCGUGUAGCAGUGAAAUGCGUAGAUAUGCGGAGGAACACCGAUGGCGAAGGCAGCCUCCUGGGAUAACACUGACG
This 727-nucleotide ribosomal RNA is filed under the name uncultured Achromobacter sp. RNAcentral describes it as "bacterial SSU rRNA". It matches the Rfam family "Bacterial small subunit ribosomal RNA", at positions 23 to 745 of the family's 1533-position model. Lineage: Bacteria; Pseudomonadati; Pseudomonadota; Betaproteobacteria; Burkholderiales; Alcaligenaceae. The record is from RNAcentral.